This 521-nucleotide ribosomal RNA is filed under the name uncultured bacterium. Its description in RNAcentral is "bacterial SSU rRNA". It matches the Rfam family "Bacterial small subunit ribosomal RNA", at positions 11 to 535 of the family's 1533-position model. The record is from RNAcentral.
GUUUGAUCCUGGCUCAGAACGAACGCUAGCGGGAUGCUUCAAAACAUGCAAGUCGUACGCGAAAGGGACUUCGGUCCCAAGUAGAGUGGCGCACGGGUGCGUAACACGUAGCUAACGUACCCCCUCGCUGGGGAUAACUUAGGGAAACCUGAGCUAAUACCGAAUAAUCUGACGGAUUCUGCGGAAUUUGUCGGUAAAGCCGUAAGGCGCGAGGGGAUCGGGCUGCGGUCCAUUAGCUAGUUGGCGGGGUAAUGGCCCACCAAGGCUACGAUGGGAUAGGCUGGUCUGAGAGGAUGACCAGCCACACUGGAACUGGAACACGGUCCAGACUCCCACGGGAGGCAGCAGUUGGGGAAUAUUGGACAAUGGGGGAAACCCUGGAUCCAGCAAUCCCGCGUGAGUGAUGAAGGCCCUCGGGUCGUAAAGCUCUUUUAGUGGGGACGAAGGGGAAACUUGACGGUUACCCACAGAAAAAGCACCGGCUAACUCCGUGCCAGCAGCCGCGGUAAUACGGAGGGUGC